Molecule: ribosomal RNA, 571 nt
Filed under: uncultured archaeon
Lineage: Archaea
Description: bacterial SSU rRNA
Rfam family: Archaeal small subunit ribosomal RNA
Source: RNAcentral
CCGGAUAGAUCCGGGUAGUCCGGCUGUAACUCUCGGCUAGGUGUCGGUCGGCUUCGGGCCGGCGCGGUCCGAGGGAAGCCGUUAGUCCGCCGCCUGGGGAGUACGGUCGCAAGACUGAAACUUAAAGGAAUUGGCGGGGGACACUACAACGGGUGGACCUGCGGUUUAAUUGGAUUCAACGCCGGGCAUCUUACCAGGGGCGACGGCAGGAUGAAGGCCAGGUUGGCGACCUUGCCAGACGCGCCGAGAGGUGGUGCAUGGCCGUCGUCAGCUCGUACCGUGAGGCGUCCUGUUAAGUCAGGUAACGAGCGAGACCCGUGCCCCAUGUUGCCAUCCCCUCCUCCGGGAGGGGGGCACUCAUGGGGGACCGCCGGCGAAAAACCGGAGGAAGGUGCGGGCAACGACAGGUCCGCAUGCCCCGAAUCCCCUGGGCUACACGCGGGCUACAAUGGCCGGGACAAUGGGAUGCGACCCCGAAAGGGGGAGCAAAUCCCCUAAACCCGGUCGUAGUCCGGAUCGAGGGCUGUAACUCGCCCUCGUGAAGCCGGAAUCCGUAGUAAUCGCGCCUCAC